This 72-nucleotide transfer RNA is filed under the name Candidatus Ornithospirochaeta avicola. RNAcentral's name for it is "tRNA-Glu". It matches the Rfam family "tRNA". Rfam says of the family: Transfer RNA (tRNA) molecules are approximately 80 nucleotides in length. Their secondary structure includes four short double-helical elements and three loops (D, anti-codon, and T loops). Further hydrogen bonds mediate the characteristic L-shaped molecular structure. tRNAs have two regions of fundamental functional importance: the anti-codon, which is responsible for specific mRNA codon recognition, and the 3' end, to which the tRNAs corresponding amino acid is attached (by aminoacyl-tRNA synthetases). tRNAs cope with the degeneracy of the genetic code in two manners: having more than one tRNA (with a specific anti-codon) for a particular amino acid; and 'wobble' base-pairing, i.e. permitting non-standard base-pairing at the 3rd anti-codon position. The record is from RNAcentral. RNAcentral also lists the same sequence under 1 other name. Lineage: Bacteria; Pseudomonadati; Spirochaetota; Spirochaetia; Spirochaetales; Spirochaetaceae.
GUCUCCUUCGUCUAGUGGUUAGGACAACGGGUUUUCAUCCCGUCAACACCAGUUCGAUCCUGGUAGGAGAUG